Molecule: ribosomal RNA, 2593 nt
Filed under: Klebsiella pneumoniae
Lineage: Bacteria; Pseudomonadati; Pseudomonadota; Gammaproteobacteria; Enterobacterales; Enterobacteriaceae
Description: partial 23S ribosomal RNA
Rfam family: Bacterial large subunit ribosomal RNA
Source: RNAcentral
UAGGUUAACGAGGCGAACCGGGGGAACUGAAACAUCUAAGUACCCCGAGGAAAAGAAAUCAACCGAGAUUCCCCCAGUAGCGGCGAGCGAACGGGGAGCAGCCCAGAGUCUGAAUCAGCUUGUGUGUUAGUGGAACGGUCUGGAAAGUCCGACGGUACAGGGUGAUAGUCCCGUACACCAAAAUGCACAGGCUGUGAACUCGAAGAGUAGGGCGGGACACGUGGUAUCCUGUCUGAAUAUGGGGGGACCAUCCUCCAAGGCUAAAUACUCCUGACUGACCGAUAGUGAACCAGUACCGUGAGGGAAAGGCGAAAAGAACCCCGGCGAGGGGAGUGAAAAAGAACCUGAAACCGUGUACGUACAAGCAGUGGGAGCACCUUCGGGUGUGACUGCGUACCUUUUGUAUAAUGGGUCAGCGACUUAUAUUCUGUAGCAAGGUUAACCGUAUAGGGGAGCCGCAGGGAAACCGAGUCUUAACUGGGCGUUAAGUUGCAGGGUAUAGACCCGAAACCCGGUGAUCUAGCCAUGGGCAGGUUGAAGGUUGGGUAACACUAACUGGAGGACCGAACCGACUAAUGUUGAAAAAUUAGCGGAUGACUUGUGGCUGGGGGUGAAAGGCCAAUCAAACCGGGAGAUAGCUGGUUCUCCCCGAAAGCUAUUUAGGUAGCGCCUCGUGAACUCAUCUUCGGGGGUAGAGCACUGUUUCGGCUAGGGGGUCAUCCCGACUUACCAACCCGAUGCAAACUACGAAUACCGAAGAAUGUUAUCACGGGAGACACACGGCGGGUGCUAACGUCCGUCGUGAAGAGGGAAACAACCCAGACCGCCAGCUAAGGUCCCAAAGUCAUGGUUAAGUGGGAAACGAUGUGGGAAGGCACAGACAGCCAGGAUGUUGGCUUAGAAGCAGCCAUCAUUUAAAGAAAGCGUAAUAGCUCACUGGUCGAGUCGGCCUGCGCGGAAGAUGUAACGGGGCUAAACCAUGCACCGAAGCUGCGGCAGCGACACUAUGUGUUGUUGGGUAGGGGAGCGUUCUGUAAGCCUGCGAAGGUGUGCUGUGAGGCAUGCUGGAGGUAUCAGAAGUGCGAAUGCUGACAUAAGUAACGAUAAAGCGGGUGAAAAGCCCGCUCGCCGGAAGACCAAGGGUUCCUGUCCAACGUUAAUCGGGGCAGGGUGAGUCGACCCCUAAGGCGAGGCCGAAAGGCGUAGUCGAUGGGAAACAGGUUAAUAUUCCUGUACUUGGUGUUACUGCGAAGGGGGGACGGAGAAGGCUAUGUUAGCCGGGCGACGGUUGUCCCGGUUUAAGCAUGUAGGCUGAUUGUCCAGGCAAAUCCGGAUAAUCAAGGCUGAGGUGUGAUGACGAGGCACUACGGUGCUGAAGUAACAAAUGCCCUGCUUCCAGGAAAAGCCUCUAAGCAUCAGGUAACAUUAAAUCGUACCCCAAACCGACACAGGUGGUCAGGUAGAGAAUACCAAGGCGCUUGAGAGAACUCGGGUGAAGGAACUAGGCAAAAUGGUGCCGUAACUUCGGGAGAAGGCACGCUGGUGUGUAGGUGAAGUCCCUGCGGAUGGAGCUGAGACCAGUCGAAGAUACCAGCUGGCUGCAACUGUUUAUUAAAAACACAGCACUGUGCAAACACGAAAGUGGACGUAUACGGUGUGACGCCUGCCCGGUGCCGGAAGGUUAAUUGAUGGGGUUAUCCGUAAGGAGAAGCUCUUGAUCGAAGCCCCGGUAAACGGCGGCCGUAACUAUAACGGUCCUAAGGUAGCGAAAUUCCUUGUCGGGUAAGUUCCGACCUGCACGAAUGGCGUAAUGAUGGCCAGGCUGUCUCCACCCGAGACUCAGUGAAAUUGAACUCGCUGUGAAGAUGCAGUGUACCCGCGGCAAGACGGAAAGACCCCGUGAACCUUUACUAUAGCUUGACACUGAACAUUGAGCCUUGAUGUGUAGGAUAGGUGGGAGGCUUUGAAGCGUGGACGCCAGUCUGCGUGGAGCCAACCUUGAAAUACCACCCUUUAAUGUUUGAUGUUCUAACGUUGGCCCCUGACCGGGGUUGCGGACAGUGUCUGGUGGGUAGUUUGACUGGGGCGGUCUCCUCCCAAAGCGUAACGGAGGAGCACGAAGGUUAGCUAAUCCUGGUCGGACAUCAGGAGGUUAGUGCAAUGGCAUAAGCUAGCUUGACUGCGAGCGUGACGGCGCGAGCAGGUGCGAAAGCAGGUCAUAGUGAUCCGGUGGUUCUGAAUGGAAGGGCCAUCGCUCAACGGAUAAAAGGUACUCCGGGGAUAACAGGCUGAUACCGCCCAAGAGUUCAUAUCGACGGCGGUGUUUGGCACCUCGAUGUCGGCUCAUCACAUCCUGGGGCUGAAGUAGGUCCCAAGGGUAUGGCUGUUCGCCAUUUAAAGUGGUACGCGAGCUGGGUUUAGAACGUCGUGAGACAGUUCGGUCCCUAUCUGCCGUGGGCGCUGGAGAAUUGAGGGGGGCUGCUCCUAGUACGAGAGGACCGGAGUGGACGCAUCACUGGUGUUCGGGUUGUCAUGCCAAUGGCACUGCCCGGUAGCUAAAUGCGGAAGAGAUAAGUGCUGAAAGCAUCUAAGC